AUGCGGCUGAUAAGUCCCAAACAGGACGAAACGCGCGUCCUCAAU
RNAcentral lists this non-coding RNA (45 nucleotides) under Schistosoma curassoni. Lineage: Eukaryota; Metazoa; Platyhelminthes; Trematoda; Strigeidida; Schistosomatidae. The record is from RNAcentral.